UGGUAGAGCGCUGCGUUCGGGACGCAGAGGUCGCGUGUUCAAAUCACGUCGCUUCGA
RNAcentral lists this transfer RNA (57 nucleotides) under Lachnospiraceae bacterium. RNAcentral's name for it is "tRNA-Pro". It matches the Rfam family "tRNA", at positions 16 to 71 of the family's 71-position model. Rfam says of the family: Transfer RNA (tRNA) molecules are approximately 80 nucleotides in length. Their secondary structure includes four short double-helical elements and three loops (D, anti-codon, and T loops). Further hydrogen bonds mediate the characteristic L-shaped molecular structure. tRNAs have two regions of fundamental functional importance: the anti-codon, which is responsible for specific mRNA codon recognition, and the 3' end, to which the tRNAs corresponding amino acid is attached (by aminoacyl-tRNA synthetases). tRNAs cope with the degeneracy of the genetic code in two manners: having more than one tRNA (with a specific anti-codon) for a particular amino acid; and 'wobble' base-pairing, i.e. permitting non-standard base-pairing at the 3rd anti-codon position. Lineage: Bacteria; Bacillati; Bacillota; Clostridia; Lachnospirales; Lachnospiraceae. The record is from RNAcentral.